RNAcentral lists this ribosomal RNA (253 nucleotides) under uncultured bacterium. Its description in RNAcentral is "partial 16S ribosomal RNA". It matches the Rfam family "Bacterial small subunit ribosomal RNA", at positions 524 to 776 of the family's 1533-position model. The record is from RNAcentral.
UACGGAGGAUGCAAGCGUUAUCCGGAAUGAUUGGGCGUAAAGCGUCCGCAGGUGGCUGUGUAAGUCUGCUGUCAAAGAGCAAAGCUCGACUUUGUAAAGGCAGUGGAAACUACACGGCUAGAGUGCGUUCGGGGCAGAGGGAAUUCCUGGUGUAGCGGUGAAAUGCGUAGAGAUCAGGAAGAACACCGGUGGCGAAGGCGCUCUGCUAGGCCGCAACUGACACUGAGGGACGAAAGCUAGGGGAGCGAAUGGG